GGAAAACAGAGGUGCUGCAGCCCUAGCUGCUGCAGCUGCCUCUCUUCCUCCUCUCCAUCUUCCCUCUCUUCUACUUCUUCUUUUUUUCUCUUCUCCCUCUUCUUCCACAUGCGGAAAACAGAGAGAGCAUGGGAGGCGGUGGGAUAAAACCGAAAUUUUUGGUUUUCUUUAUUUUCUUUUUUUUACAACUUAACAGUUUAGUCCUUGAAAUUUCCAUAUUUACAUAUAGGUCCCCCGAUUUAUAAAUAAAUCUUUAUUAAUAAUUUUCAAAAGUGAGGGAUAUUACA
This 287-nucleotide long non-coding RNA is filed under the name Musa acuminata (dwarf banana). Its description in RNAcentral is "long non-coding RNA (MACU_LNC010306)". Lineage: Eukaryota; Viridiplantae; Streptophyta; Magnoliopsida; Zingiberales; Musaceae. The record is from RNAcentral.